AACAAACGCUGGCGGCGUGCCUAAUACAUGCAAGUCGAACGGGGAAAGUAGCAAUAUGAGUACUAGUGGCGCACGGGUGAGUAACGCGUGGAUAAUCUGCCUUGAAGAGGGGGAUAACUAGUCGAAAGAUUAGCUAAUACCGCAUAAGACCACAAGAACUGAGGUUCAAGGGGUCAAAGGUUUUUCGCUUCAAGAUGAGUCCGCGUAAGAUUAGCUAGUUGGUGAGGUAAUGGCUCACCAAGGCAACGAUCUUUAACUGGUCUGAGAGGAUGAUCAGUCACACUGGAACUGAGACACGGUCCAGACUCCUACGGGAGGCAGCAGUAGGGAAUAUUGCACAAUGGAGGAAACUCUGAUGCAGCGACGCCGCGUGAGUGAUGAAGGCCUUCGGGUCGUAAAGCUCUGUCGCAGGGGAAUAACAAAAUGAAUGUACCCUGUAAGAAAGGAUCGGCUAACUUCGUG
RNAcentral lists this ribosomal RNA (462 nucleotides) under uncultured bacterium. RNAcentral's name for it is "partial 16S ribosomal RNA". It matches the Rfam family "Bacterial small subunit ribosomal RNA", at positions 29 to 507 of the family's 1533-position model. The record is from RNAcentral.